This is a non-coding RNA of Callorhinus ursinus (northern fur seal), 766 nucleotides long. The record is from RefSeq and is a predicted model, not a curated record. NCBI's taxonomy places the organism in Eukaryota, Metazoa, Chordata, Mammalia, Carnivora, Otariidae.
GUAAAACGCCUAGCCUCUGAAGAACCCAAGACAGAGGGGGCGUCGGGACUGGAGGCUUAUGCGGGGGGCGUGGCUUCAGGCAGCUACCGACGUCCUCUUCCGGAACAGGCCUGUGCCCCGGAAGCAGUUGUUUGCUGAGAGUCUUUGGUCCCGUUUAGGAGACUGCGUGGGUGUUGUCACCAUGUUCCUGUCCGCGGUCACUUUUGCCAAGAGCAAGUCAAAAACCAUUCUGGUGAAAAUGCUGAGCCAAGCUGGGACAGGUUACUCCUUCAACACGAAGAGAAGCCGACUACGGGAGAAACUGACUCUCUUGCAUUAUGAUCCAAUUGUUCUUCCCAGGUUAGCACCUCCGGUCGCCAUACACAGAUUACCAGUGUCUAACUUGAUGACAUCGGUCUGAAUGGUGUCCUUCACCUCGAUGAGGGGGUCAGGAUGGCGGCCGGUGUGAGCAUCAUGGGUCACCAGUGAAAGCAAAAGUCCUCUUUGUGGAACAGAAGAAAAUACGUUCCCUCUAAACAAUGGAUUGAAAACGAAUUUGAUUUAUAAAUGAGAAUACUGAGGGUGGGAUACUGAUUCAGAAAUUCUGCAGCGUGUAAUAAAAGAAGAGGAAAUGGCACGGAAUCACUGCCUCCUGUGAUUUGAAGGCCAUUGUGAAGAAAAACAAUGUACUGAAAGAAAGUUCUUCAUAUUAGGACAUAGAUCAUUGCAUCACAUUUAUUUAUCUUUCUGGAUAUUUUUAUAGCCCUUAAUAAAAAAUAUUAAAAUA